This 254-nucleotide ribosomal RNA is filed under the name uncultured bacterium. RNAcentral's name for it is "partial 16S ribosomal RNA". It matches the Rfam family "Bacterial small subunit ribosomal RNA", at positions 524 to 776 of the family's 1533-position model. The record is from RNAcentral.
UACGGGGGGAGCAAGCGUUGUUCGGAUUUACUGGGCGUAAAGGGCGCGUAGGCGGUCAGCACAAGUCAGUUGUGAAAUCUCCGAGCUUAACUCGGAAAGGUCAACUGAUACUGUGCGACUAGAGUGCGGAAGGGGCAACUGGAAUUCCUGGUGUAGCGGUGAAAUGCGCAGAUAUCAGGAGGAACACCGGUGGCGAAGGCGGGUCUCUGGGCCGUAACUGACGCUGAGGAGCGAAAGCAUGGGGAGCGAACAGG